RNAcentral lists this long non-coding RNA (455 nucleotides) under Bos taurus (domestic cattle). RNAcentral describes it as "long non-coding RNA NONBTAT011423". Lineage: Eukaryota; Metazoa; Chordata; Mammalia; Artiodactyla; Bovidae. The record is from RNAcentral.
UUGACUUUGAAAAAUCAAUAUCAAGGGCAUCCUGUCUUCAGGAUAAAUUCACUGGGAUGAGAUCACUGGACUAAAAGAUGUGAAUGCAUAUAUGGUUCUUUGGGUUCUUAUUGCCAUUACGUGUUCCAUGAAGACAAUAGCAAUGGACAUGAAGCCUGCUGGGUGUGAAUGGACUGGUUUCACUAAGACUUUGUCAGCUCUGGAUUUUUGUUGCAUUUUAAGUAUAAAAAGAAAUGUCAAAGUUACUCUACUUUUCACUGCAUCUUAAAGUAGUUUUAAAGUAGUUUUAUCUCAUUAAUUUAUACCAAUAAGAAUAAAUUGGGCUCCUUCAUAACGGAAUAGUUUCCUUUCAAGAUCUAAUUUUCUGUACUUGUAUAGUCAGUACUAAAUUAGGCUCUGGAUUUUAAAGUGAAGCAUAGUACUGAGGCAAUUAUCUCUCUACUCAGUGCUCUAUU